UUGCCCAUCGGGGCCUCGGAUACCUGCUUUU
RNAcentral lists this non-coding RNA (31 nucleotides) under Tupaia belangeri chinensis (Chinese tree shrew). RNAcentral describes it as "Tupaia chinensis (Chinese tree shrew) XIST RNA A repeat". It matches the Rfam family "XIST RNA A repeat". The record is from Rfam by way of RNAcentral. Lineage: Eukaryota; Metazoa; Chordata; Mammalia; Scandentia; Tupaiidae.